RNAcentral lists this long non-coding RNA (543 nucleotides) under Malus domestica (apple). Its description in RNAcentral is "long non-coding RNA (MDOM_LNC014502)". The record is from RNAcentral. Lineage: Eukaryota; Viridiplantae; Streptophyta; Magnoliopsida; Rosales; Rosaceae.
GUGGCACUAACGUGAACGUAGGAGGCAAAGGCGGUACUGGGGUGAACACCGGGAAGGGAACCAACGUUGGUGUUGGCAAAGGAGGAGUGUCCGUAAACACAGGGCACAAGGGAAAGCCCGUGUAUGUUGGAGUAAAACCAGGACCAGACCCUUUUAACUACCAGUAUGCAGCCACCGAAACCCAACUCCAUCAAGACCCAAACGUUGCUAUUUUCUUCUUGGAGAAAGACAUGCGUCCUGGAACAACAAUGAACUUGCACUUCACCACAAAUUCAAACACGCAAACUUUUGUGCCGCGCGAAACUGCGGAAUCCAUCCCAUUUUCGUCCAACAAGCUGCCAGAAAUCUUCAACCAAUUUUCAGUGAAAUCGGGUUCCGUGGAAGCGGAUAUAAUCAAGGGUACAAUUCAAGAGUGUGAGAAUCCAGCCAUUAGAGGAGAGGAGAAAUAUUGUGCUACCUCUUUGGAGUCCAUGAUUGACUUUAGCACUUCUAAGCUUGGAGGAGGAAAUGUUCGAGCAAUUUCGACAGAAGCCGGAAAAGGAG